RNAcentral lists this ribosomal RNA (698 nucleotides) under Bacillus sp. (in: firmicutes). RNAcentral's name for it is "bacterial SSU rRNA". It matches the Rfam family "Bacterial small subunit ribosomal RNA", at positions 53 to 730 of the family's 1533-position model. The record is from RNAcentral. Lineage: Bacteria; Bacillati; Bacillota; Bacilli; Caryophanales; Bacillaceae.
ACAUGCUAGUCGAGCGAAUGGAUUAGAGAGCUUGCUCUCAAGAAGUUAGCGGCGGACGGGUGAGUAACACGUGGGUAACCUGCCCAUAAGACUGGGAUAACUCCGGGAAACCGGGGCUAAUACCGGAUAACAUUUUGAACUGCAUGGUUCGAAAUUGAAAGGCGGCUUCGGCUGUCACUUAUGGAUGGACCCGCGUCGCAUUAGCUAGUUGGUGAGGUAACGGCUCACCAAGGCAACGAUGCGUAGCCGACCUGAGAGGGUGAUCGGCCACACUGGGACUGAGACACGGCCCAGACUCCUACGGGAGGCAGCAGUAGGGAAUCUUCCGCAAUGGACGAAAGUCUGACGGAGCAACGCCGCGUGAGUGAUGAAGGCUUUCGGGUCGUAAAACUCUGUUGUUAGGGAAGAACAAGUGCUAGUUGAAUAAGCUGGCACCUUGACGGUACCUAACCAGAAAGCCACGGCUAACUACGUGCCAGCAGCCGCGGUAAUACGUAGGUGGCAAGCGUUAUCCGGAAUUAUUGGGCGUAAAGCGCGCGCAGGUGGUUUCUUAAGUCUGAUGUGAAAGCCCACGGCUCACCCGUGGAGGGUCAUUGGAAACUGGGAGACUUGAGUGCAGAAGAGGAAAGUGGAAUUCCAUGUGUAGCGGUGAAAUGCGUAGAGAUAUGGAGGAACACCAGUGGCGAAGGCGACUUUCU